CCUACGGGAGGCAGCAGUGAGGAAUAUUGGUCAAUGGGCUUACGCCUGAACCAGCCAAGUCGCGUGAGGGAAGACUGCCCUAUGGGUUGUAAACCUCUUUUGUCAGGGAGCAACGCCGGCUACGUGUAGCCGGACUGAGAGUACCUGAAGAAAAAGCAUCGGCUAACUCCGUGCCAGCAGCCGCGGUAAUACGGAGGAUGCGAGCGUUAUCCGGAUUUAUUGGGUUUAAUGGGUGCGUAGGCGGAAUGCCAAGUCAGCGGUAAAAUCGCGGGGCUCAACCUCGCUCCGCCGUUGAAACUGGCGGUCUUGAGUGGGCGAGAAGUAUGCGGAAUGCGUGGUGUAGCGGUGAAAUGCAUAGAUAUCACGCAGAACUCCGAUUGCGAAGGCAGCAUACCGGCGCCCAACUGACGCUGAGGCACGAAAGCGUGGGUAUCGAACAGGAUUAGAUACCCUUGUAGUC
RNAcentral lists this ribosomal RNA (460 nucleotides) under uncultured bacterium. RNAcentral describes it as "partial 16S ribosomal RNA". It matches the Rfam family "Bacterial small subunit ribosomal RNA", at positions 338 to 795 of the family's 1533-position model. The record is from RNAcentral.